Molecule: transfer RNA, 72 nt
Filed under: Bakuella subtropica
Lineage: Eukaryota; Ciliophora; Spirotrichea; Urostylida; Bakuellidae
Description: tRNA-Trp
Rfam family: tRNA
About the family: Transfer RNA (tRNA) molecules are approximately 80 nucleotides in length. Their secondary structure includes four short double-helical elements and three loops (D, anti-codon, and T loops). Further hydrogen bonds mediate the characteristic L-shaped molecular structure. tRNAs have two regions of fundamental functional importance: the anti-codon, which is responsible for specific mRNA codon recognition, and the 3' end, to which the tRNAs corresponding amino acid is attached (by aminoacyl-tRNA synthetases). tRNAs cope with the degeneracy of the genetic code in two manners: having more than one tRNA (with a specific anti-codon) for a particular amino acid; and 'wobble' base-pairing, i.e. permitting non-standard base-pairing at the 3rd anti-codon position.
Source: RNAcentral
UACAAUAUCGUCUAAUGGUUAAGACACUAAACUUUCAAUUUAGUAAUAGAAGUUCAAUUCUUUUUAUUGUAA